GGCAGAAGAAGCUCAUCAGUGGGACAUACACUGAGUCUGGCCCAAGCCCCUGGGAAGGUCUGAGACUGGGGCCCCCUUGGCCUUUACAGGGGUCCUCCCUGAGUGGGGAGGUGAGCUCCCAGAGAGCAGGGUUCCAUUCAUGGGCAGACUGGGCAGGAGAGGACCCAAGUAGGUGGAUGUCUCCUUCCUUUACCAGUACCUAAAAUCUUUUAGUUCAUUUCAAUUUGAAAAUUUCCGAAUUAAACCAGUGUGUGUGUGUG
RNAcentral lists this long non-coding RNA (260 nucleotides) under Peromyscus maniculatus bairdii (prairie deer mouse). RNAcentral's name for it is "Nuclear RNase P (ENSPEMG00000004239.2)". It matches the Rfam family "Nuclear RNase P", at positions 1 to 208 of the family's 301-position model. Rfam says of the family: Ribonuclease P (RNase P) is a ubiquitous endoribonuclease, found in archaea, bacteria and eukarya as well as chloroplasts and mitochondria. Its best characterised activity is the generation of mature 5'-ends of tRNAs by cleaving the 5'-leader elements of precursor-tRNAs. Cellular RNase Ps are ribonucleoproteins. Lineage: Eukaryota; Metazoa; Chordata; Mammalia; Rodentia; Cricetidae. The record is from RNAcentral.